Molecule: ribosomal RNA, 87 nt
Filed under: Streptococcus salivarius
Lineage: Bacteria; Bacillati; Bacillota; Bacilli; Lactobacillales; Streptococcaceae
Description: partial 16S ribosomal RNA
Rfam family: Bacterial small subunit ribosomal RNA
Source: RNAcentral
AGCCAGCCGUCGAAGGUGGGGCUGAUGAUUGGAGUGAAGUCGUAACAAGGUAGCCGUAUCGGAAGGUGCGGCUGGAUCACCUCCUUU